RNAcentral lists this ribosomal RNA (498 nucleotides) under uncultured bacterium. RNAcentral describes it as "partial 16S ribosomal RNA". It matches the Rfam family "Bacterial small subunit ribosomal RNA", at positions 30 to 523 of the family's 1533-position model. The record is from RNAcentral.
AUUGAACGCUGGCGGCAUGCCUUACACAUGCAAGUCGAACGGUAACAGGUCUUCGGAUGCUGACGAGUGGCGAACGGGUGAGUAACACAUCGGAACGUGCCUAGUAGUGGGGGAUAACUACUCGAAAGAGUGGCUAAUACCGCAUGAGAUCUACGGAUGAAAGCAGGGGAUCGCAAGACCUUGUGCUACUAGAGCGGCCGAUGGCAGAUUAGGUAGUUGGUGGGAUAAAAGCUUACCAAGCCAACGAUCUGUAGCUGGUCUGAGAGGACGAUCAGCCGCACUGGGACUGAGACACGGCCCAGACUCCUACGGGAGGCAGCAGUGGGGAAUUUUGGACAAUGGGCGAAAGCCUGAUCCAGCAAUGCCGCGUGCAGGAUGAAGGCCUUCGGGUUGUAAACUGCUUUUGUACGGAACGAAAAGCCCUGGGUUAAUACCCUGGGGUCAUGACGGUACCGUAAGAAUAAGCACCGGCUAACUACGUGCCAGCCGCCGCGGUAA